RNAcentral lists this ribosomal RNA (252 nucleotides) under uncultured Tissierellia bacterium. RNAcentral describes it as "partial 16S ribosomal RNA". It matches the Rfam family "Bacterial small subunit ribosomal RNA", at positions 524 to 776 of the family's 1533-position model. The record is from RNAcentral. Lineage: Bacteria; Bacillati; Bacillota; Tissierellia.
UACGUAUGGUGCGAGCGUUGUCCGGAAUUAUUGGGCGUAAAGGGUACGUAGGCGGUUAAACAAGUCAGAUGUAAAAACUUGAGGCUCAACCUCAUGUAGCAUUUGAAACUGUAUAACUUGAGUAGUGGAGAGGAAAGUGGAAUUCCUAGUGUAGCGGUGAAAUGCGUAGAUAUUAGGAGGAAUACCAGUAGCGAAGGCGACUUUCUGGACACAAACUGACGCUGAGGUACGAAAGCGUGGGGAGCAAACAGG